UCUUCAAAGACUGAAGAAUCUCGAGGUUACGUUCGCAAAGGCAACAUGCCAUGUGGCCAUUGGAGGGCAGUGUGUAUCCAAUGUUGCCGCAUCUCUUACACAGCCUGAAAGUGCACCCUUGAUUUGCAUGAGGGGUCCCAAGAUCUUCAGCUUGAUGUUUGCAGUCCUCACCUCUCUCCCACCAGAACCCUUUGCUUUUUUUCCAGGAUAAAAGCAUCAUGAUGAAGCAUCAU
Amblyraja radiata (thorny skate) is the source of this 233-nucleotide long non-coding RNA. RefSeq lists it as uncharacterized. Lineage: Eukaryota; Metazoa; Chordata; Chondrichthyes; Rajiformes; Rajidae. The record is from RefSeq and is a predicted model, not a curated record. The transcript is spliced from 3 exons.